GUUGUAUUCAUUACUCUAUUGGCACCAAAACAAAUAUUAUUAACAUGUGGGACAUUUGGUUUGUCACCAAACCUUUCAUUUAAAAAAAAAAAAAAAAACUCAAUUAUUUCUUGUUGGGUAUUAGAGUUGGGUUAGGGUUAAUGGGGUUAGGGUUAGGGCUUCUGUGGUUAUAGUUAUGGUUAUUGAUAUUAAUGUUAGGGCUUCUGUGGUUAUAGUUAUGGUUAUUGAUAUUAAUGUUAGGGCUUCUGUGGUUAUAGUUAUGGUUAUUGAUAUUAAUGUUAGGGCUACUGAGGUUAUAGUUAUGGUUAUUGAUAUUAAUGUUAGGGCUACUGAGGUUAUAGAUAUGGUUAUUGAUAUUAAGGUUAGGGCUAUUGUGGUUAUAGUUAUGGUUGUUGAUAUUAAGGUUAGAGCUACUGAGGAUACAGUUAAGGUUACUGAGGUUUAGGUCAGGGUUACUGACAGCAGAAAAGAGACAUUCACAGGACCACAAUUGUUCAGAUAUUAUUUGGGUGGUGGGUCAUUCUCAACACACAGCAGUGGCACUGACAUAGCAGUGUGUAUGGUGCCGAUUCAAAUGGUUUUUGUGGUUGUCAGAUUGUUUAGAACACUUCAGCAGCAGUAAGGUGUUUAAAACAUUCUUGUACCUGACCCACUCGUAACAGCACACCUGGCAACGCAAGACUGUGUAUAUGUGUGUUUGUGUCCACGUUUCUGCUGGAGUGAUUGCACUAAUGGACCCUUUGUUUUUGCAUGUGGACCUCCUACUGUGAACAGAGGGCAGACUGACGGCGAGUUAUUAAUGGAAAUGUGCAUACUGUAGUGUUCAGGUGUGAAUUGUACUCAGAUUGAACGUUGAAUCUUUUACAAGCUUAGUGUAACAAUGCCAACAUGUUUCAUAUGGAAGAGUCAGUGAAAGCAGAGACUGCAAGAAAAGAUUUACAUUGCUGUGAAUUUUUUUUUAUCUAAAUUACCAUGCUAACAUUUACGAAGAUACAUAGAGAAGCUUUAUAGUUACUCUCUGAUGGUGUCUUUUCAGUGGUUCUGAUCCGUGAAGCAACUUCAGAAUAGUCAGCUGUUGCAUCAGUGGAGGAUCACAGAGAAAGAGUGUGGCACAGUGUAGCCAUAACAUUGCAUCUGCUUCUCCUGAGAACUUUGGGAAAUUUUAUGACGCUGUGUGGACAGCUUUUAGUGGGAAUCAUGUUGAAGCUCCAGCCGUAGCCUUAGUUGAGUCAGCGUGUCCAGAGAUCAUGCACAAGGACUUUGUGACUCACUGUGCACAGUUACUUGGUUCAGCGAAGGUCUGAAGUUUUCCUGCAUCUACAGUACUUGCAAUCUUGCAAUAUUGGAGUCUUGGCUGAGAUUGAGGUGAGAUCAGUUAAGAGUAAAAAGAAAACAACUCUAAAGUUGAUGAUCAAAGUGAUGAUCUAGGUGAAUAGAUAUCUAAUGCCAAACUUCCUGAUGUUUGUGAGUGGGUGGGUCAAGGAUCCUGUCUCUCCUCAUUCAGUGGUGCUGGUUGGUUGUUGCCCAAAGGGAAGUCCUGGGGUGGAAUUGGGGCUUCAAAAACCAUUUAUGACCAUCCCAGGCAGGCAGAACGUGAAGUUUAUAGAAAGAAGAAGUGCCAGUACAAACUCUUUGAUGACCUUUCUUGGUAUGGUUUAUGUGUUAGGUAGGAAAUCUUAUACUUUAAGGGUUAUAUCUCUGGCAAAGUUCCUACAGUGGCAUGUAGACUAGCAUCAAAGCAGCGCUCACACUCUGAGAUUUUAAUAAAUAAU
Long non-coding RNA from Ictalurus punctatus (channel catfish), 1772 nucleotides. NCBI's taxonomy places the organism in Eukaryota, Metazoa, Chordata, Actinopteri, Siluriformes, Ictaluridae. The record is from Ensembl.